GCGGAUGUGGCGGAAUUGGCAGACGCACUGGAUUUAGGUUCCAGCGGGCAACCGUGGGGGUUCGAGUCCCUUCAUCCGCA
Molecule: transfer RNA, 80 nt
Filed under: Tumebacillus flagellatus
Lineage: Bacteria; Bacillati; Bacillota; Bacilli; Caryophanales; Alicyclobacillaceae
Rfam family: tRNA
About the family: Transfer RNA (tRNA) molecules are approximately 80 nucleotides in length. Their secondary structure includes four short double-helical elements and three loops (D, anti-codon, and T loops).
Source: Rfam by way of RNAcentral